This 241-nucleotide ribosomal RNA is filed under the name Eubacterium ruminantium. Its description in RNAcentral is "16S rRNA. Bacterial SSU". It matches the Rfam family "Bacterial small subunit ribosomal RNA", at positions 1 to 231 of the family's 1533-position model. The record is from RNAcentral. Lineage: Bacteria; Bacillati; Bacillota; Clostridia; Eubacteriales; Eubacteriaceae.
CUUUUAUUGAGAGUUCGAUCCUGGCUCAGGAUGAACGCUGGCGGCGUGCUUAACACAUGCAAGUCGAACGGAGAUUUACCACCUGCUUGCAGGAGGUAAAUCUUAGUGGCGGACGGGUGAGUAACGCGUGGGUAACCUGCCUCACACAGGGGGAUAACAGUUGGAAACGACUGUUAAUACCGCAUAAGCGCACGGUAUCGCAUGAUACAGUGUGAAAAACUCCGGUGGUGUGAGAUGGACC